UACGAAGGGGGCUAGCGUUGCUCGGAAUCACUGGGCGUAAAGGGUGCGUAGGUGGCGCCGUAAGUCAGGUGUGAAAUUUCGGAGCUUAACUCCGAAACUGCAUUUGAUACUGCGGUGCUUGAGGACUGGAGAGGAGACUGGAAUUCACGGUGUAGCAGUGAAAUGCGUAGAUAUCGUGAGGAAGACCAGUGGCGAAGGCGGGUCUCUGGACAGUUCCUGACACUGAGGCACGAAGGCUAGGGGAGCAAACGGG
Molecule: ribosomal RNA, 253 nt
Filed under: uncultured bacterium
Lineage: Bacteria
Description: partial 16S ribosomal RNA
Rfam family: Bacterial small subunit ribosomal RNA
Source: RNAcentral